GCUCUCGGGUGACGAGCGGCGGACGGGUGAGUAUCGAGGAAACUGCCUGAUGGAGGGGGAUAACUACUGGAAACGGUAGCUAAUACCGCAUAACGUCUUCGGACCAAAGUGGGGGACCUUCGGGCCUCAUGCCAUCAGAUGUGCCCAGAUGGGAUUAGCUAGUAGUGGGGUAACGGCUCACCUAGGCGACGAUCCCUAGCUGGUCUGAGAGGAUGACCAGCCACACUGGAACUGAGACACGGUCCAGACUCCUACGGGAGGCAGCAGUGGGGAAUAUUGCACAAUGGGCGCAAGCCUGAUGCAGCCAUGCCGCGUGUAUGAAGAAGGCCUUCGGGUUGUAAAGUACUUUCAGCGAGGAGGAAGGCGGUGAGGUUAAUAACCUCAUCGAUUGACGUUACUCGCAAAAAGCACCGGCUAACUCCGUGCCAGCAGCCGCGGUAAUACGGAGGGUGCAAAGCGUUAAUCGGAAUUACUGGGCGUAAAGCGCACGCAGGCGGUCUGUCAAGUCGGAUGUGAAAAUCCCCGGGGCUCAACCUGGGAACUGCAUUCGAACUGGCAGGCUAAGUCUUGUAAAGGGGGGUAAAUUCCAGGUGUACGGUG
This 600-nucleotide ribosomal RNA is filed under the name uncultured bacterium. Its description in RNAcentral is "bacterial SSU rRNA". It matches the Rfam family "Bacterial small subunit ribosomal RNA", at positions 80 to 683 of the family's 1533-position model. The record is from RNAcentral.